This 455-nucleotide ribosomal RNA is filed under the name uncultured bacterium. RNAcentral's name for it is "bacterial SSU rRNA". It matches the Rfam family "Bacterial small subunit ribosomal RNA", at positions 340 to 786 of the family's 1533-position model. The record is from RNAcentral.
UACGGGAGGCAGCAGUGGGGAAUAUUGCACAAUGGGCGCAAGCCUGAUGCAGCCAUGCCGCGUGUAUGAAAAAGGCCUUCGGGUUGUAAAGUACUUUCAGUCGUGAGGAAGGUGUUAAGGUUAAUAACCUUAGCAAUUGACGUUAGCGACAGAAGAAGCACCGGCUAACUCCGUGCCAGCAGCCGCGGUAAUACGGAGGGUGCGAGCGUUAAUCGGAAUUACUGGGCGUAAAGGGCACGCAGGCGGUUAAUUAAGUUGGAUGUGAAAUCCCCGGGCUUAACCUGGGAAUGGCAUUCAAGACUGGUUAGCUAGAGUCUUGUAGAGGGGGUUAGAAUUCCAUGUGUAGCGGUGAAAUGCGUAGAGAUGUGGAGGAAUACCGGUGGCGAAGGCGGCCCCUGGACAAAGGCUGACGCUCAUGUGCGAAAGCGUGGGGAGCGAAACAGGGAUUAGAUACC